RNAcentral lists this transfer RNA (69 nucleotides) under Bacillus cereus. RNAcentral's name for it is "tRNA-Glu". It matches the Rfam family "tRNA". From Rfam's summary of the family: Transfer RNA (tRNA) molecules are approximately 80 nucleotides in length. Their secondary structure includes four short double-helical elements and three loops (D, anti-codon, and T loops). Lineage: Bacteria; Bacillati; Bacillota; Bacilli; Caryophanales; Bacillaceae. The record is from RNAcentral.
UUGGUCAAGUGGUUAAGACACCGCCCUUUCACGGCGGUAACACGGGUUCGAAUCCCGUACGGGUCACCA